RNAcentral lists this ribosomal RNA (402 nucleotides) under uncultured bacterium. Its description in RNAcentral is "bacterial SSU rRNA". It matches the Rfam family "Bacterial small subunit ribosomal RNA", at positions 362 to 757 of the family's 1533-position model. The record is from RNAcentral.
UUUUGGACAAUGGGGGCAACCCUGAUCCAGCAAUGCCGCGUGAGUGAAGAAGGCCUUCGGGUUGUAAAGCUCUUUUGUCAGGGAAGAAACACCGGCUCUAACACAGUCCGGGAAUGACGGUACCUGAAGAAUAAGCACCGGCUAACUACGUGCCAGCAGCCGCGGUAAUACGUAGGGUGCGAGCGUUAAUCGGAAUUACUGGGCGUAAAGCGUGCGCAGGCGGUUAUACAAGACAGGCGUGAAAUCCCCGGGCUUAACCUGGGAAUGGCGCCUGUGACUGUAUAGCUAGAGUGUGCCAGAGGGGGGUAGAAUUCCACGUGUAGCAGUGAAGUGCGUAGAUAUGUGGAGGAAUACCAAUGGCGAAGGCAGCCCCCUGGGAUAACACUGACGCUCAUGCACGAA